This 406-nucleotide ribosomal RNA is filed under the name uncultured bacterium. Its description in RNAcentral is "partial 16S ribosomal RNA". It matches the Rfam family "Bacterial small subunit ribosomal RNA", at positions 28 to 526 of the family's 1533-position model. The record is from RNAcentral.
GAUGAACGCUAGCUACAGGCUUAACACAUGCAAGUCGAGGGACCGGCGCACGGGUGAGUAACACGUAUCCAACCUGCCCUUUACUCGGGGAUAGCCUUUCGAAAGAAAGAUUAAUACACGAUGUAAAGGAUGGGGAUGCGUUCCAUUAGGUUGUUGGUGAGGUACCGGCUCACCAAGCCUUCGAUGGCUAGGGGUUCUGAGAGGAAGGUCCCCUACAGUGGAACUGAGACCCGGUCCAAACUCCUAGGGGAGGCAGCAGUGAGGAAUAUUGGGCAAUGGGCGUUAGCCUGAACCUGCCAAGUAGCGUGAAGGAGGAAGGCUUAUGGGUCGUAAACUUCUUGGAUAUAAGAAGAUGUAUUAGAUGAAUAAGGAUCGGCUAACUCCGUGCCAGCAGCCGCGGUAAUAC